Molecule: ribosomal RNA, 499 nt
Filed under: Dictyoptera speciosa
Lineage: Eukaryota; Metazoa; Arthropoda; Insecta; Coleoptera; Lycidae
Description: partial large subunit ribosomal RNA
Rfam family: Bacterial large subunit ribosomal RNA (bases 378-499)
Source: RNAcentral
CAUGGUUUUUUGUUUAUAAUUUAAAAUUUAAUCUGCUCAAUGAAUACUUAAAUUGCCGCAGUAUUUUAACUGUGCAAAGGUAGCAUAAUAAUUAGUUUCUUGAUUAGAAGCUGGAAUGAAUGAUUGGACGAUAAAAUAACUGUCUCUAUUUAAUUAUUUAAUUAAUUUUAUUUUUAAGUUAAAAAGCUUAAAUUUUAUUAAAAGACGAGAAGACCCUAUAGAGUUUAAUAAUAAAAAUAUUAAUUAUUUUGGAAUUGAGUUAAUAUUAUAUUAUUUAGUUGGGGUGACUUAGAAAUUUGAAGAAUUUUUUAAAAUUAAAAUUUUUAAUAAGAAAGUUUAUAAUCUAUUUUUUUAAAAUUAAAAUAAAUUACCUUAGGGAUAACAGCGUAAUUUUUCUUUAAAGUUCAUAUUAAAAGGAAAGUUUGCGACCUCGAUGUUGGAUUAAAAUUAAUUUUAGGUGCAGUAACUUAAAAAUUAAGUCUGUUCGACUUUUAGAAUU